Pollicipes pollicipes is the source of this 667-nucleotide long non-coding RNA. RefSeq lists it as uncharacterized. NCBI's taxonomy places the organism in Eukaryota, Metazoa, Arthropoda, Thecostraca, Pollicipedomorpha, Pollicipedidae. The record is from RefSeq and is a predicted model, not a curated record. The transcript is spliced from 3 exons.
UCUUCGGGCAGCCGCAGCAGUCUGUGAGAAGUGCGGCGCAGAUAUGGCGGAGGGCCGCAGACGGAGGGCAGUGGAUGGCGUUGUGUGGCGCUGCGUGGACCGGCGCUGCCGAAUGACCGCAAGCAUCAGGAAAGGGUCGUUCUUUGAAGGGUCACACCUAGAGCUGCGUCAGCUUGUCUUGAUAGUAUAUUUUACCUCCCAGAGAAUGGCAGCUCAUCAGGUCGCCAAGGAAGCUGAGGUGUCGCCUAAGGCCGUGGUGGAUUGGAGUAACUUUCUCCGCGAGGUGAUGUCUGCUGACAUGCUCCGGCACCCGGCCCUUCUGGGCGGACCAAAUGGGUUCGUCCAGAUCGACGAAACACUGUUAGCCAGGGCCAAGCGCACAAGGAAUCAUCGAGCCCGGCCUGUAUCCGAAGUUUGGGUGUUCGGAAUGGUGGAUUCCGCCGGAGAAGCCCACCUGCAGGUUGUCCCUGAUCGGACCACCCAAACGCUGCUACCGAUCGUGCAGCAGCACGUCGUGCCCGGCAGCAUGAUCUGGCCAGACGGAUGGGGCGCCUAUAAUAACGGCGCCCUGCAGGCGGCUGGGUACCGUCACCAGGCGGUGCACCACCGCAUCCAGUUUGUGCGCCCGGAUGGUAAGUAUGAACAGGUCCGAGUCCAACAAUCUGAC